RNAcentral lists this ribosomal RNA (301 nucleotides) under uncultured bacterium. Its description in RNAcentral is "partial 16S ribosomal RNA". It matches the Rfam family "Bacterial small subunit ribosomal RNA", at positions 509 to 809 of the family's 1533-position model. The record is from RNAcentral.
CAGUCGCCGCGGGAAUACAGAGGGUGCGAGCGUUAAUCGGAUUUACUGGGCGUAAAGCGUGCGUAGGCGGCUUCUUAAGUCGGAUGUGAAAUCCCCGGGCUUAACCUGGGAACUGCAUUUGAAACUGGCAGGCUAGAGUCUUGUAGAGGGGGGUAGAAUUCCAGGUGUAGCGGUGAAAUGCGUAGAGAUCUGGAGGAAUACCGGUGGCGAAGGCGGCCCCCUGGACAAAGACUGACGCUCAGGUGCGAAAGCGUGGGGAGCAAACAGGAUUAGAUACCCGCGUAGUCCCUGUCUCUUAUAA